UGUCAUUUGGCCUCGCUAGUUCUGUAUUCACGCCUCCGAUCACGCAAAGCACAGUCAAUAUUCCACGCCUUUUCCACUACAUAAACUGCAUGACGGAAUUAUUAUGCACCGCGCGUGCUGUUUACUUUAGUGCCAACUUCACUAUCAUCACCGCUUAUCUACCGAUACGUUACCGAGAAAUGACAUAAACGAUACAAAAAUGCAUGAAAAUCAGCUUUAAAACUGUCUCCGCACUCAGCAUUUUUCCAGAAGAGAGAGAGAGAGAGAAGGAGGACAAGACAUUCCACCCUGCCAUUUAUUAGCCAAAGUGGAUUAAUGGUACACACCUGCUUUCCUGUACACAGCGUCACUGUAUUAGCUGGUAAGUUCAUUUUCGAAUUCACAAUCAAACCCAUAUUGAUGUAUAUGGAAUUUUGGACAGAACUCUCGAAAACGGAAAAUCGGCUACGUCGGUUACACUUGAUGUCAGGUGCGGCGCGGAAUUAUUUAUUGAUUUUUAAAUUUUUAAUCUUAUUAUUAACUGAGUUAUUAUUCACUUCUGAUUAGCUGAGGUCACGCUAAUAAUACGAACUCGGCUAGCUAAUGAUGCUAAAUUUCUACAACAGUGCUGUUGAACGCUGGAUUCUGAUUGGUCAGAAGAUGAAAAGUUGAUGAAUUUUCUAAAGCGGCGAACAAAGCCGACGUUUUCCGACGUCCCGCGUGCUAACAGUAACUUUGCUUCAUCACACCACCCUGUCGUCGGUGAUCGCCCUAUAUAUAACGGAACACGCGCGAGGGUUUUAUUCCUUGCGGAUCAGAUUUAUAUCAUCAUCUAAUCUGUGAUCAGAUUUUCUGUACUAGAAGCUAAAGACGUGGUAACGUUCCAGAGAACUGCUGUAGCUGAGAGUCUGGCCUCGCACUAGCGUAGCGCUGAGGAGUUAGCAGGCUGCGUUCUUAGCUAGCGCUCUGCGAUGUUUUUAUGUAUUUUCAACACGUCUCGCUUCUUAAGGGGAUUUGUCAAGAAAACAUCCUGAUAAUGUGUUUCAAACUCCUGUGUACGAAACGUACGGGAAAAGAAACCCGAAGUCACCUCACGUCUCGCCUCUAUUCGUGUGCUAGCAUGAUGUUAGCUAAUAGCUAGAAGAAUGCGUUUUGCACCAGUAGUUAGUUGUUUUUUUUUUAUUGUCUAAGAAUUCUGUGUGAGAUUUUUAAAGUAAGUGUGUGUGUGUGUGUGUGUGUGUGUGUGUGUUGAUUUAGACCUGCAGGUUGGACAGUGCUAAAGUAGAAACUAGAUUAGCCUCGUAGCUCUAGUGUAAAACCAAACGUUUUGGCUAAGCAGCUACAGCUGAGGUAAAAGGGAAACCUUUUAUUUUUUACUACCAGUCUUUUAAAUUGUGUGUGUGUGUGUGUGUGUGUGUGUGUGUGUAAACAUAAAUAUAGAAGGUGCGCUUUUAAACCUGGCCAGUUUGUACGGUUAUAUAUUCCCUGAUCUGGCGGUUUGUCAGAGGAGGAAAGAGCGCAGCUUUUCAUCAAUAAUUCAGCAGGUUUUGUUUGUGAUGUUGCUCAGAUACGAUGAAGGUCUUCACGGCUCUCGGGUUUUUAUUUAUUUAUUUGUUUGUUUAUCUCGGCGUGAGGCCGUCACAAUGACCAUCCCGCUCUUUUAUCUCCUCUCUGACAGGCGCAAAACGCAGCAAAAAUCCACCGAACAGCGACCGAGGCUCUCUUGGGGGAUGUGUGUGGGAGGGGAGGGGGGCGGCUUGGGCUCCCGAGUGUACUGUUUGACGACGCUAUAAGCCAUAAUAGGUGAAUUAAACUCCUUGCCUCUCGUCAGGAUCGAUCUCACACUCACACACACACACACACACACACACACACACACACACACACACACACACUCCACUGCGCCGAAUGGCUAGCUCCAUACAAUAGUCAGACGAUAGCUAGCAUAAUAUAUACAAAUAUGGCCAGCUAGUCAGUUCGAUCAGUCAUUAUCCUUUUCUAAGGAAGUUCCAUCAACAAAAACUCGCAUGACUAUAAGCUGUGGUGUUUUCCUUCCACUGACACACACACACACACACACACACACACACGCACGCACGCACGGUUGGGAUUUUUUUUAUUGGCUUACUGCUUUGAUCUCUCGCUAUAUGUAUGAGAGACAAUCAGUGCACAUGUGGGCGCGUGUGUAUAUACACACACACACACACACACACACACACAUACCAUCACGACCUUCUUGACCUCGGUCACAGAAACUAUAACAAUAAACUAUAAAUAACCCCUUACAAUAAACGUCUCACCUGUGUGUACACCUCAGAAUGUGUGUGUGUGUAUAUACACACACACUGACCUCAGUAAUGGACCCUUAAAACGAAUGUUCCUAUAAACUGUCACGCAGGUGCUGUGUGAGGACCGUGUGUGUGUUCACAUCUUGUGUCUGUGUGUUCGCAGGGACAGGCUGUGACGGACUGUCUGGGCCUCAUGCCGAAAUUUUAUUAUUAUUAUUUUCUUUUUUUACAAAACUUUGUGUAGCUAAGCAUCAAUUAUGUGCAGUAUUAAUCAUGUCAGUGGAAGGUCCUCAUAAGGAUAGUAAGCGUGUGUGUGUGUGUGUGUGUGUGUGUGUGUUAGUAAGAGUUUAUCCAGACAACACUGAUAUCUGAUGUUAUUUAUUGAUGUGUAUACUCACACACACCUGACGUUGAAGCUUUGAGGUGUAAAUCCAUGUUUUGUCUGACCCCUGCGUUCCGGCCAAUCAGAUCGUCCCGUUCGGCGUGAGCGCUCCACUCUCGGAUAUAAACACGUUUUUCACGCGGCUCUUUGAUCUUGACCGUGCUCCAUAAACAUGCGACUUAUUUUCGUAAUCAGCUUCGAAUAAUUAUCUCUAACUUCCUGUGGCGAGUUUACACAACAGUGUUGAUUGCUUCAUUUUUUUUUUUUUAUGUUUAAAAUCUAUGCUUCGUCAUUUUCUUGUGGUUGGUUUAAAAGUAGGCGGGGCCAUGAGGGAAACGGUCCCACGUGCGAUAUAACCAUGUUUCAGAGGUCGAAACCAGAGCAGCGAUAAAUCGGUUGAACGCGCGUCGUGAUGACGUCACGUGACUCGGUAUAUUUUGAAAAAUCGCACGCUCCUCCGAAUAUCGCGUAAACAUCGAUACGACGGUUAUUGAUCAGCGCGUUAUUUUCUCGAUGUGUCUUUGAGACGUCGACGGUGUACGUUUAAAAACGUAUAAACUUGCGCUUCAUAGCAAUCGUUCGACCCCUAUGACCUUUCGCUAAUGUUAAAUGACGAAUUUCCUGUUUACGAGAUCGGACACGCCCACAACAGUGUUUUAUUUAUUUAUUUGUUUGUUUGUUUAUUUAUUCGGAGCGCAGUUAAAGUGUGUAUAUUCUACACCUUGGGUAUUAUUUGUAAGCUUCGAUAAAAGAAGUAGCUUUUGUCCUCCUGUGCCUAAAAAAAAUAAAAACGCGACUGGGACUGUAAAUGAGUGUGUUUAGCAGCCCGCCGUGCCUUACUUCAGACACUACCUCUACUCGGUGCCAGGUAAAGUAAAAUGGAUUGAUACGCCGCUGUUUAAUUGAAAAGAUAUGACACGGUGUAAGGGUGUUUAAUUUUAUUCACGGUCCCACAUGUGAAAUACCGCAGGGUUCAACCGUUAUUACACGACACAGAGAGAGAGAGAGCGAGAGAGAGAGCGAGAGAGAGAGAGAGAGAGAGAGAGAGAGAGAGCGAGCGCUUACGUGCUGAAACACUGAAAAGUGCUGCACUUCCUGGCGAAGGUAAAAAAGUAAGGAACCAAUCAGACAUUGUAGUGCUGCCGUAGACCCCCCGAGUGAGACACGCGAGUCUGACAUAGGCCACGCCUCCCGGCCGCUACAGCACGGCAGGGUUCUACAGUGAUUGUUUAAAUGAUUUUUUUAACAGCACGCCAGGGUGAGUCCUCUGAAACGUCGUGUCGUGGGAUGAUCUCGGCCAGGAGGCGGGGCGAAUAUUCUGUCUUGAGAACGUGAUGUUAACACUGGAGUAGAGAGUGUCAGCGUUUUUACUCUUUCACAGGCUGUAACACACUGCA
Ictalurus punctatus (channel catfish) is the source of this 4046-nucleotide long non-coding RNA. Lineage: Eukaryota; Metazoa; Chordata; Actinopteri; Siluriformes; Ictaluridae. The record is from Ensembl.